This 1394-nucleotide ribosomal RNA is filed under the name Mycobacterium sp. MCS. RNAcentral describes it as "bacterial SSU rRNA". It matches the Rfam family "Bacterial small subunit ribosomal RNA". Lineage: Bacteria; Bacillati; Actinomycetota; Actinomycetes; Mycobacteriales; Mycobacteriaceae. The record is from RNAcentral.
GCUGGCGGCGUGCUUAACACAUGCAAGUCGAACGGAAAGGCCCUUCGGGGUGCUCGAGUGGCGAACGGGUGAGUAACACGUGGGUGAUCUGCCCUGCACUUUGGGAUAAGCCUGGGAAACUGGGUCUAAUACCGAAUACACCCUGCUGGUCGCAUGGCCUGGUGGGGGAAAGCUUUUGCGGUGUGGGAUGGGCCCGCGGCCUAUCAGCUUGUUGGUGAGGUUACGGCUCACCAAGGCGACGACGGGUAGCCGGCCUGAGAGGGUGACCGGCCACACUGGGACUGAGAUACGGCCCAGACUCCUACGGGAGGCAGCAGUGGGGAAUAUUGCACAAUGGGCGCAAGCCUGAUGCAGCGACGCCGCGUGGGGGAUGACGGCCUUCGGGUUGUAAACCUCUUUCAGUAGGGACGAAGCGCAAGUGACGGUACCUACAGAAGAAGGACCGGCCAACUACGUGCCAGCAGCCGCGGUAAUACGUAGGGUCCGAGCGUUGUCCGGAAUUACUGGGCGUAAAGAGCUCGUAGGUGGUUUGUCGCGUUGUUCGUGAAAACCGGGGGCUUAACCCUCGGCGUGCGGGCGAUACGGGCAGACUUGAGUAUUGCAGGGGAGACUGGAAUUCCUGGUGUAGCGGUGGAAUGCGCAGAUAUCAGGAGGAACACCGGUGGCGAAGGCGGGUCUCUGGGCAGUAACUGACGCUGAGGAGCGAAAGCGUGGGGAGCGAACAGGAUUAGAUACCCUGGUAGUCCACGCCGUAAACGGUGGGUACUAGGUGUGGGUUUCCUUCCUUGGGAUCCGUGCCGUAGCUAACGCAUUAAGUACCCCGCCUGGGGAGUACGGCCGCAAGGCUAAAACUCAAAGAAAUUGACGGGGGCCCGCACAAGCGGCGGAGCAUGUGGAUUAAUUCGAUGCAACGCGAAGAACCUUACCUGGGUUUGACAUGCACAGGACGCUGGUAGAGAUAUCAGUUCCCUUGUGGCCUGUGUGCAGGUGGUGCAUGGCUGUCGUCAGCUCGUGUCGUGAGAUGUUGGGUUAAGUCCCGCAACGAGCGCAACCCUUGUCUCAUGUUGCCAGCACGUUAUGGUGGGGACUCGUGAGAGACUGCCGGGGUCAACUCGGAGGAAGGUGGGGAUGACGUCAAGUCAUCAUGCCCCUUAUGUCCAGGGCUUCACACAUGCUACAAUGGCCGGUACAAAGGGCUGCGAUGCCGUGAGGUGGAGCGAAUCCUUUCAAAGCCGGUCUCAGUUCGGAUCGGGGUCUGCAACUCGACCCCGUGAAGUCGGAGUCGCUAGUAAUCGCAGAUCAGCAACGCUGCGGUGAAUACGUUCCCGGGCCUUGUACACACCGCCCGUCACGUCAUGAAAGUCGGUAACACCCGAAGCCGGUGGCCUAACCCC